Molecule: ribosomal RNA, 454 nt
Filed under: Enterobacter bugandensis
Lineage: Bacteria; Pseudomonadati; Pseudomonadota; Gammaproteobacteria; Enterobacterales; Enterobacteriaceae
Also listed under: 1 other name
Description: bacterial SSU rRNA
Rfam family: Bacterial small subunit ribosomal RNA
Source: RNAcentral
AAAUUGAAGAGUUUGAUCAUGGCUCAGAUUGAACGCUGGCGGCAGGCCUAACACAUGCAAGUCGAACGGUAGCACAGAGAGCUUGCUCUCGGGUGACGAGUGGCGGACGGGUGAGUAAUGUCUGGGAAACUGCCUGAUGGAGGGGGAUAACUACUGGAAACGGUAGCUAAUACCGCAUAACGUCGCAAGACCAAAGAGGGGGACCUUCGGGCCUCUUGCCAUCAGAUGUGCCCAGAUGGGAUUAGCUAGUAGGUGGGGUAACGGCUCACCUAGGCGACGAUCCCUAGCUGGUCUGAGAGGAUGACCAGCCACACUGGAACUGAGACACGGUCCAGACUCCUACGGGAGGCAGCAGUGGGGAAUAUUGCACAAUGGGCGCAAGCCUGAUGCAGCCAUGCCGCGUGUAUGAAGAAGGCCUUCGGGUUGUAAAGUACUUUCAGCGGGGAGGAAGGCG